This is a non-coding RNA of Pelobates cultripes (western spadefoot toad), 254 nucleotides long. Lineage: Eukaryota; Metazoa; Chordata; Amphibia; Anura; Pelobatidae. The record is from the annotation of a GenBank genome assembly.
AAUAAGAGGAAUAUCAGAAGCGGUACCACUGAACGAACUGCCCCACUUUAUAAGGCGCUUAGUGGCCUCAGUCCUCCCCAACAGGCAGGCGAAACACUUUACAUUUGACGGCGUAUACCACAUUGCCAAAUCCCGACAAGCACCACAGGCAUCCCCACACGACAUCAUCUUGAGAUGCCAAUCCAUAACGGAUAAAAUAGCCUUAAUGGCAGCCAUUAAAGGGAAAUCCCCGCACGACUUUGAAACGCAGCGAC